Long non-coding RNA from Lynx canadensis (Canada lynx), 518 nucleotides. RefSeq lists it as uncharacterized. The transcript has 3 exons. Lineage: Eukaryota; Metazoa; Chordata; Mammalia; Carnivora; Felidae. The record is from RefSeq and is a predicted model, not a curated record.
UGUUUCAGUAUGACAUUUAUGAAUUGACUGCCAGUCAUGGGGCAAACUGCCAGUCAAGCAAAACUGAGCUGGUCGAGUCCACUCACAGUGCGUGGAACCAUCAUUCAUCUGGGAAGACAACCCCAAUCCGGGCACCGGUUUUCCACCUCAGAGAGAGGAUCUCCAGCUUCUUUCUCAUGUGGCUCGUCAAUCCCCUUGGUAAUGAAGAUCAUUCAUUGCCAUCUGCUCAAGAAACACAGAGGUUAUAAAAUGUUGGAAAUCUAGAUUCCUGUAGAAGAAACUUAUGGAAGGAGCCCAUCAAAACCAGGAAGAUCAGAGCCCUGACCUGCAAGUACUUUGGUGGGACGGCUGCCGUUUUGCUUUCUCCUUUAAGAAGCAAACUCAAAAUUCUCAACUUGCCUGAGCAAACGAAUAAGAAAUGGGAAGAUUUAGGGCACGCUGUGUGACACAUAUAUGCUGAGAUGGCCCUGAAUUUCCUUGUGCGAAUGAAUCUACUGAGUCAAAUCAUGAACCCAGCU